Molecule: ribosomal RNA, 468 nt
Filed under: Aeromonas lacus
Lineage: Bacteria; Pseudomonadati; Pseudomonadota; Gammaproteobacteria; Aeromonadales; Aeromonadaceae
Also listed under: 1 other name
Description: bacterial SSU rRNA
Rfam family: Bacterial small subunit ribosomal RNA
Source: RNAcentral
AUUGAACGCUGGCGGCAGGCCUAACACAUGCAAGUCGAGCGGCAGCGGGAAAGUAGCUUGCUACUUUUGCCGGCGAGCGGCGGACGGGUGAGUAAUGCCUGGGGAUCUGCCCAGUCGAGGGGGAUAACUACUGGAAACGGUAGCUAAUACCGCAUACGCCCUACGGGGGAAAGCAGGGGACCUUCGGGCCUUGCGCGAUUGGAUGAACCCAGGUGGGAUUAGCUAGUUGGUGAGGUAACGGCUCACCAAGGCGACGAUCCCUAGCUGGUCUGAGAGGAUGAUCAGCCACACUGGAACUGAGACACGGUCCAGACUCCUACGGGAGGCAGCAGUGGGGAAUAUUGCACAAUGGGGGAAACCCUGAUGCAGCCAUGCCGCGUGUGUGAAGAAGGCCUUCGGGUUGUAAAGCACUUUCAGCGAGGAGGAAAGGUUGGUAGCUAAUAUCUGCCAGCUGUGACGUACUCGCAG